This is a long non-coding RNA of Pollicipes pollicipes, 220 nucleotides long. RefSeq lists it as uncharacterized. NCBI's taxonomy places the organism in Eukaryota, Metazoa, Arthropoda, Thecostraca, Pollicipedomorpha, Pollicipedidae. The transcript is spliced from 3 exons. The record is from RefSeq and is a predicted model, not a curated record.
GCUGGUUUCGACGAAUCUACCCCUACCGGCUCGGUGGACAGUAAGACGGAACUGCAGCCGCGUCUCACCACCUGGGACGAUGACGACGCGGCCGACAUCCCCAUGAUCCCGGACCUGGACGAGGUGCAGGAGGAGGACCUGACGCUACAGGUGGCGCCUGCUCCCACAGCGCCUGUCAACCGCGUGGCCACGAUGCAAGAACUGAACGCGGACCUGGAGA